AGUGAACGCUGGCGGUAGGCCUAACACAUGCAAGUCGAACGGCAGCACAGUAAGAGCUUGCUCUUACGGGUGGCGAGUGGCGGACGGGUGAGGAAUACAUCGGAAUCUACUUUUUCGUGGGGGAUAACGUAGGGAAACUUACGCUAAUACCGCAUACGACCUACGGGUGAAAGCAGGGGAUCUUCGGACCUUGCGCGAUUGAAUGAGCCGAUGUCGGAUUAGCUAGUUGGCGGGGUAAAGGCACACCAAGGCGACGAUCCGUAGCUGGUCUGAGAGGAUGAUCAGCCACACUGGAACUGAGACACGGUCCAGACUCCUACGGGAGGCAGCAGUGGGGAAUAUUGGACAAUGGGCGCAAGCCUGAUCCAGCCAUGCCGCGUGAGUGAAGAAGGCCUUCGGGUUGUAAAGCCCUUUUGUUGGGAAAGAAAAGCAGCAGGUUAAUACCCCGCUGUUCUGACGGUACCCAAAGAAUAAGCACCGGCUAACUUCGUG
Molecule: ribosomal RNA, 492 nt
Filed under: uncultured bacterium
Lineage: Bacteria
Description: partial 16S ribosomal RNA
Rfam family: Bacterial small subunit ribosomal RNA
Source: RNAcentral